CUGUUUUGGCAACACAUAUACUGAGAUUGGAACAAUACGGAGAAAAUUAACCUGGCCCCUGUGUAAGGAUGACACACAAUUAGUGGAGCAUUCCAUAUGUUU
Small nuclear RNA from Choloepus didactylus (southern two-toed sloth), 102 nucleotides. The record is from RefSeq and is a predicted model, not a curated record. Lineage: Eukaryota; Metazoa; Chordata; Mammalia; Pilosa; Megalonychidae.